RNAcentral lists this ribosomal RNA (440 nucleotides) under uncultured bacterium. RNAcentral's name for it is "partial 16S ribosomal RNA". It matches the Rfam family "Bacterial small subunit ribosomal RNA", at positions 338 to 795 of the family's 1533-position model. The record is from RNAcentral.
CCUACGGGGGGCAGCAGUGGGGAAUAUUGCACAAUGGGGGAAACCCUGAUGCAGCGACGCCGCGUGAGUGAAGAAGUAUUUCGGUACGUAAAGCUCUAUCAGCAGGGAAGAAAAUGACGGUACCUGACUAAGAAGCCCCGGCUAACUACGUGCCAGCAGCCGCGGUAAUACGUAGGGGGCAAGCGUUAUCCGGAUUUACUGGGUGUAAAGGGAGCGUAGACGGCAGCGCAAGUCUGGAGUGAAAUCCCAUGGCUUAACCAUGGAACUGCUGUGGAAACUGUGCAGCGAGAGUGCAGGAGAGGUAAGCGGAAUUCCUAGUGUAGCGGUGAAAUGCGUAGAUAUUAGGAGGAACACCAGUGGCGAAGGCGGCUUACUGGACUGUAACUGACGUUGAGGCUCGAAAGCGUGGGGAGCAAACAGGAUUAGAUACCCUUGUAGUC